AUGCAGAGUGUGUGUAUAUAAUGUAGAGUGUGUGUAUAUAAUGCACACACUCUGCAUUAUAUACACACACUAUGCAUUAU
Pelobates cultripes (western spadefoot toad) is the source of this 80-nucleotide non-coding RNA. NCBI's taxonomy places the organism in Eukaryota, Metazoa, Chordata, Amphibia, Anura, Pelobatidae. The record is from the annotation of a GenBank genome assembly.